This 857-nucleotide long non-coding RNA is filed under the name Fukomys damarensis (Damara mole-rat). RNAcentral describes it as "lncRNA (ENSFDAG00000028386.1)". Lineage: Eukaryota; Metazoa; Chordata; Mammalia; Rodentia; Bathyergidae. The record is from RNAcentral.
GUGACACACGCGUGUGCACGCAGGUGUCCCCGCAGCCCAGCCACACCGCCGGGAGGAAGUGGGUGCGAAUGGGCUGCGCGUUGCCCUGAGCGCUGAGGCAGGAGGAUCUCCGGGGUUUGAGGCCAGCUUGGGCUGCAGAGCGAGACCCUGCCGGAGCGCGGCAGGUAAUGAGUCAAAAAUAAAAGCUGCUGCUUACGUACUGACGAAGGGCAGAGCAGCAGAGGCAGGGUAACACACACGCCACGUGUCACACAUACGACACGAGUACUCAAGGAUCCUCUCACGUCCCCGAGACCCGGGCAUCUGGGCCACGCUCCCAUCACAGGCUCCAGAGAGACCUCCUGCCUCUGCCUCCUCCGAGGGAGACCCUCCUGCCUCUGCCUCUCCUCCGAGGGAGACCCUCCUGCCUCUGCCUCCCCUCGGGGCUCCAGGAGACCCUGGGCCGCAGCCCCACUGCUCCAGUCCCUGCCUGCGUCUUCAUGUGGCUGCUGCUCUGUCUCUCCUGAGGACGCUGCCGCUGGAGACGAGAGGCUGAGGCAGGGCGGCCUGUCUCCACACGCUGCUCCGAUCCCCCCGGCAGGGACUGUGCCCCCACCCGAGGCCCGCCCCGAAGCAGGCAGCCAUGACACCAUGACCUACUGCCUGAACAGCAAGUCGCCUGUGUCCCGCACGCAGUCUCGGCUGCUGCACUUCCUGAACAAGGCGGCCCCCUGCAUCACUGGGCCGGUGGUGCUCAAGUGGGCGGUCACCCAGGAUGACGCGAUGUCCCGAGGAGGCGCCCUUUAGUCUUAUUUUAGACGGGGUCUCCCAAAGCAGUCCAGGCUGGGCAGGAGCGCGGGGCCCGCCGCCCGGGUCAG